UACGUAGGGUGCGAGCGUUAAUCGGAAUUACUGGGCGUAAAGCGUGCGCAGGCGGUAAGUUAAGUCUGAUGUGAAAGCCCCGGGCUCAACCUGGGAAUGGCAUUGAAAACUGGCUUGCUGGAGUGUGGCAGAGGGGGGUGGAAUUCCGCGUGUAGCAGUGAAAUGCGUAGAGAUGCGGAGGAACACCGAUGGCGAAGGCAGCCCCCUGGGCCAACACUGACGCUCAGGCACGAAAGCGUGGGGAGCAAACAGG
Molecule: ribosomal RNA, 253 nt
Filed under: uncultured bacterium
Lineage: Bacteria
Description: partial 16S ribosomal RNA
Rfam family: Bacterial small subunit ribosomal RNA
Source: RNAcentral